This 759-nucleotide ribosomal RNA is filed under the name Triticum aestivum (bread wheat). Its description in RNAcentral is "partial small subunit ribosomal RNA". Lineage: Eukaryota; Viridiplantae; Streptophyta; Magnoliopsida; Poales; Poaceae. The record is from RNAcentral.
AUGCCGCCCAAGGCUCCCAAAGCACCCGUCACAUGCAACUGGGUUAGAUCCACCGUCACUGGUAGCAUCUUAAACGAUUUUGUGAAGACUGGUCAUCUGCCAAAGAAAGAGAUCAUGUCUUAUCGUGCUCCUGACCCGUCAGAAGAAAAGCCUCAACCCAAGGAUGAGGAAGUUGUCAUUUUUACUGAUCACAUGAACCGGGGUUUUGCUCCACCCGGCUCAAAAAUUUUCAGAGACGUCUUGCACUUUUUUGACCCGCGACCUCAAGACAUCGGACCCAAUUCCGUGUCAAACAUCUGCAAUUUCCAAGUAUUCUGUGAGGUGUACCUUGGAGAAGAACCUAGCUUACUACUCUUUAGAGAGUUAUUUUAUCUGAACCGUCAAAACGAAUGUGCCCACGGGCCCAGCUUGGAGCUUGGCAGAAUCUCAAUCCAGCGACGUAGAGACUGUCUCUUCCCUUAUGCCGAGCCGCCGAGUCACCCUAAAGAUUGGAACCAGACAUGGUUCUACUGUCAAGACACUUCUCCGGCUAAUGAGAACCCUUUGCCCGGCUUUCGCGCCCUGCGCCUGGAGUCAACUCACCCCUUACCAGAUAAAUUAUCUCCGGCUGAACGUCAAACACUUGGCCCCACCAUGAACAAGAUCAAAGCUCUUCUGGGGAACGGCCUAAACGGCAUUGACUUGGUCCGGGUUUGGAUUACCUGGCGGGUGAUUCCUUUGAGCCGCCGCCCCGGCUUGAUGUGCGAUUACACAGGCUAG